GCAUUGGUGGUAUAGUGGUGGGCAUUGCUGGUAUAGCUGCCUUCCAAGCAGUUUACCUGGGUUCGAUUCCUGGCCAAUGCA
This 81-nucleotide transfer RNA is filed under the name Ameiurus melas (black bullhead). It matches the Rfam family "tRNA". From Rfam's summary of the family: Transfer RNA (tRNA) molecules are approximately 80 nucleotides in length. Their secondary structure includes four short double-helical elements and three loops (D, anti-codon, and T loops). Further hydrogen bonds mediate the characteristic L-shaped molecular structure. tRNAs have two regions of fundamental functional importance: the anti-codon, which is responsible for specific mRNA codon recognition, and the 3' end, to which the tRNAs corresponding amino acid is attached (by aminoacyl-tRNA synthetases). tRNAs cope with the degeneracy of the genetic code in two manners: having more than one tRNA (with a specific anti-codon) for a particular amino acid; and 'wobble' base-pairing, i.e. permitting non-standard base-pairing at the 3rd anti-codon position. The record is from Rfam by way of RNAcentral. Lineage: Eukaryota; Metazoa; Chordata; Actinopteri; Siluriformes; Ictaluridae.